CCUACGGGAGGCAGCAGUGGGGAAUAUUGGGCAAUGGAGGCAACUCUGACCCAGCAACGCCGCGUGAAUGAUGAAGGUCUUCGGAUUGGAAAGUUCUGUUAUGGGGGAUGAACACAAAGACGGUACCCCAAUAGCAAGCCACGGCUAACUACGUGCAAGCAGCCGCGGUAAUACGGCGGUGGCAAGAGUUCUCCGGAAUGACUGGGCGUAAAGGGUGCGUAGGUGGUUUAGUAAGUUGGCGGGGUAAUUCCGGGGCUCAACCUCGGCGCUACCGCCAAAACUAUUAGACUUGAGAGAUCGAGAGGCAGGCGGAAUUCGGUGUGUAGCGGUGAAAUGCGUAGAUAUACGGAGGAACACC
This 358-nucleotide ribosomal RNA is filed under the name uncultured bacterium. Its description in RNAcentral is "partial 16S ribosomal RNA". It matches the Rfam family "Bacterial small subunit ribosomal RNA", at positions 338 to 710 of the family's 1533-position model. The record is from RNAcentral.